This is an RNA transcript of Acinonyx jubatus (cheetah), 5750 nucleotides long. It is a transcript of the gene named xylulokinase, with no coding region annotated. NCBI's taxonomy places the organism in Eukaryota, Metazoa, Chordata, Mammalia, Carnivora, Felidae. The record is from RefSeq and is a predicted model, not a curated record. The transcript has 20 exons.
CUGUGGAUCCCAGUGCCUGCAGCCCCAGGGGACGUUUCUCUGUGACCUCUGUGUCACUACCAUGAGUGGCCAGUCGCCUUAGUACCCAAGAGACAGCCACAGAAGUCUCCAGGGCCACUAGAGAGACAGGCAGGGACAAUCCAGCUUAAAGGUGGAACCUCUGGUCCAGACGUCCUCCGCGGGAAGCCAGGCGAUGUUAGGGCAAGGCCUCCGCGGAGAGCACACGUGGAUGGGGAGGAGGCCGGAGGAGGGUUGGAAGGGAGAAGGUGGCGCAGGGGGUACCGGUAUGUCGCCCAGGUGCGAAGCGCGAGGACCCGGCAGGACGCGCGUCCCUGCACCGUCUCCCCGCAGGCGGCGCCAGAGCGCUAGCCCGCGGGUGACUCGGGUCCUGGAGUCCGGCCGGGCGGGGCGAGGGGCGGGCCCGGCGUCUCGGGGCGCUAGAGCGCGGCGACACUCACGCCGCGGGAAGGACGGACGGACGGACGCGCCGCCGCCCCCUCCGCAGCCAUGGCCGAGCACGUCGCCCGCCGCUGCUGCCUCGGCUGGGACUUCAGCACGCAGCAGGUGAAAGUUGUUGCUGUUGACGCAGAGCUGAAUGUGUUCUAUGAGGACAGUGCGCAUUUUGACAGAGACCUUCUAGAAUUCGGGACUCAGGGUGGAGUUCACGUUCAUGAGGAGGGGCUGACAGUGACAUCUCCAGUCCUGAUGUGGGUCCGGGCUUUGGAUAUCAUCUUGGAGAGGAUGAAGGCCUCGGGCUUUGACUUCUCUCAAGUCCUCGCCCUGUCUGGGGCCGGCCAGCAACAUGGAAGUGUAUACUGGAAGGCUGGGGCCAGCCAGGUGCUGAGAAGCCUGUCACCAGACCUCCCGUUACAUAAGCAGCUGCAGGCCUGUUUCUCCAUCAGCGACAGCCCGGUGUGGAUGGACUCCAGCACCACAGCCCAGUGUCGCCAGCUGGAGGCCGCGGUGGGCGGCGCCCAGGCUCUCAGCUGCCUCACAGGCUCCCGGGCCUACGAGCGGUUUACGGGAAACCAGAUCGCGAAGAUUUACCAGCAGAACCCCGAGGCCUACUCACACACGGAGAGAAUUUCUUUGGUCAGUAGCUUUGCUGCCUCCCUGUUCCUUGGGUCUUACUCUCCUAUCGACUGCAGUGAUGGUUCUGGAAUGAAUUUGUUGCAGAUCAAGGACAAAGUCUGGUCGCGGGUCUGCCUUGCUGCCUGUGCUCCUCAUUUAGAGGAGAAGCUUGGCUCACCGGUACCGUCCUGCUCCGUUGUGGGAGCCAUUUCUUCCUACUACGUCCAGCGCUAUGGAUUUCCUCCAGGAUGCCAAGUGGUGGCCUUUACUGGGGACAACCCUGCGUCGCUGGCAGGCAUGAGGCUGGAGGAAGGUGACAUUGCGGUCAGCCUGGGCACCAGCGACACCCUAUUUCUCUGGCUCCAGGAGCCCAUGCCCGCCCUGGAAGGGCACAUCUUCUGCAACCCCGUUGGCUCCCAGCACUACAUGGCACUCCUCUGCUUUAAAAAUGGCUCCCUCAUGAGAGAGAAGAUCCGUGAUGAGUCAGCUUCCUGUUCCUGGAGUGAGUUCUCUGAGGCACUGCGGUCCACGGAGAUGGGGAACGGCGGGAACCUGGGUUUUUAUUUUGACGUAAUGGAGAUCACCCCUGAAAUUAUUGGGCGCCAUAGGUUUAGUGCAGAAAACCACAAGGUCCCAGCAUUCCCCAGGGAUGUGGAGAUCCGAGCACUGAUUGAAGGGCAGUUCAUGGCCAAGAGGAUUCAUGCCGAAGGCUUGGGCUACCAAGUCAUGCCCAAGACAAAGAUUUUGGCCACUGGAGGGGCAUCUCACAACAGAGACAUCUUACAGGUACUUGCGGAUGUGUUUGGCGCCCCAGUGUAUGUCAUAGACACUGCCAACUCUGCCUGUGUGGGCUCUGCGUACCGAGCUUUCCAUGGCCUUGCAGCUGGAACAGACGUGCCCUUUUCAGAGGUUGUGAGGUUAGCCCCACCUCCCAGAUUAGCUGCUACCCCAACCCCAGGAGCUUCUCAGGUCUACGAGGCCCUCCUUCCUCGAUACGCCAAGCUUGAGCAGAGAAUCCUGUCGCAGACCCAGGGGCCUCCUGAGAGAAUUCCUCAGGCCCAGGCACCCCUGUUAACCCUGCCUGCUCAGACUCACUGAUCCUGCCUCGAGACGUGCUCCUGGACAACAGGGAUCCUCCUCCUUGUUCUAAGUGACUGUGCCUGCCCACCUUGCACUGCUCCAGUCCUGCCCCGGACCACCUAAACCCAGGGGACUUGUAUGUACAGGGACUUAAAUCAGCAGAACGAGGGAAACAAAGCCAUCCCUCAUCCCUUGACCCCAGCACCCCCUUCUCCAACUCGGACUCUUUGGCCACUCCUCCCCAAACUGUAACCCACAGCCACCCCCGCCCCAUACCGUGACCCCACUAUCCCAUUUCACCACCCCCCCAACCCUGACUCCCUUCUUUCAGUGUCUGAAUGGCCUCCUAGUUUCUUGCUUUCUUGUCUUCCCCAUGCUCACUCCUCCUUCAAGGUUUCUCCCUUCUGUCCUUCCAGCAUCUGCCCCUCAUCCUACAUGAUCUCUUCUUCCUCCCCAUGCCCACCUGCUGAAACUCACUACCUCCCACCCAAAGAGUUUGACACACCUGAUGACCGUGCUUCCUGUCCCCUCCCAUCGGCUCUCCCCACCGGUUGCCUGACUCCCUGGCACACCAGACCACUUGGAGGGCCCCUCUCCCAGGUAGGACAGGGUAGCACCUCCCUCCCUCCGUCCCUUCCUUCAGGGAGAAUUUCUCAAAUUCUGGAUUUUUUGAUUCUAUUUCUGUAGUGUCGUUUGACAUGUUCUCUGUCUUCUGUAUUUCCUGAAGAUUGGUGGUUGGAUCCAAUAGAGAGUUCCUCACCCUCAGUACUAUUGACAUUUGGGACUGGAUAAGUUUUGGGUGUGGGGGGCAGCAGUAUCCCUGGCGUCUACCCGCCAGAUGCCAGUGUCACCCUCUCCCCGAGCCGUGACAAUCCAACAUGUCUCCAGACGUGGCCAGAUACCUCCCGGUGGGGGUGGGAAGGCCAAAUUGCCCCUCGCUCAUAACCACGGACUUAAGAGACUCGAUCAGACACGAUGCAAUUUUCCUUUCGGUGUCAGACAACCAAGACGGUGUUCUUCCAUCAGGAGGCACGUAAUGUCUGGUUUUCUCUCACUGUCGUCAUGUUCAUCCCCAGCUGCAUCAGCUCACUAGGGAUCCAGUUUUGUUACUCCUCUUCAUUUAUGACCUGGCAUUCUUCUAUGUGAGACGUUUCCCAUCCAGGUGCCCAGUGGUGGUGUUUAUAUAGGAGAGGCCGAAUAAAUAGAUUCUUCCCAGUGUUCACUAGUGUUCAAAAUAACGGGUUAGUCCCCAGGCAUCCUCUAACAGCAGCUAGGUAUUUUUUUCAGUGUCAGUCUGAUACAUUUAGCGUAUUUUAUGUGUCUUAAUCCAUUGGGGUAAUUAUUUCUGUCCUUGCCUUCUGUUGUUAGCCAUUCUCUCCAGCUCUUCUGCUUUCCUGACGUUUCAUUCCUUCUUUCCUUACUGAUACUUCUGCUCUGUUUACCCGUUAAUUCCGGCCGGGCCCCAAAUCUCUGUCCUCAUCCUUCUUUCUCACCCAUUCUGUCCUCUGGUUAGAUGAUUUCAUCUAUUCUUGGGUUUCAACCACUGUUUCCAUACCAGGAACAUCCAGAUCUGUGUUUCCAUCCAGAACUCUCCUUGGAGUCUACCAGCAUUCUCACAGGGGUACUUCAGACUCCACUUGUCUUCCCUUGCCCUUCCCCCAACCUCCUCCUCUCAUGUUGCUGUUUGAGUGAAUUGCAAUCACCAUGCAUCCAUGCAUUCAGGAACCCAACCCCCAAAUGCAGAUAUCCUCUCUCUUUCCCACAUCAGAUGAGUCACCAGCGGACUCUAAUGACUCUCCCUUGCUGACUUGGAUGAAGUAAGCUGUCCUAUGGAGAGACCCACAUGGCAGGGAAGUGAGGGCAGUUUCUGGCCAAUAACCAUUCAAUAGUUGAGGCCCUCAGUCCAGCAAUUAACAAGGAGCUGGAUCCUGCUAACAACCACAUGACUUCCCUAGUCAAGCCUCAAAUGAGACCCCCAACUCUGGCCAACAUCUUGAUUAUAGCCUUGUGAGAGGUUUCUGACGCAGAGGACCAGAGGACUCAGGUAAACCGUGCCCAGUUUCUGAACCCACAGAAACUCAUAAUAAAUGGGCGUUGUUUUAGUUUGUGGUGAUAACAGUAGUUAUUUACCGUUACGCAGCAACAGAAAUUCAAAUCAUUCCCCAUCUAUAGAGCAGAGGGACCUGCUCAUACACUCGCAGUAGGAUUUGGCAAUUGCUAUGGGCCAGUGACUGCUAUCUGCUUCCAUCCUGACACUUCCCAAAUGAUAGCUCUUUUGCUCUUAUCUUGUCUCUGUUUUCACCCACUUAUGUUGGCUAUGUGAAAAGCUUAGCCUCUCCUAUAUCUGGUUCAUAUGUCCUUGGCUCAAGCGUAGGCGCAAGCAGACCUUACUUAGAUGGUGAAAUCCUAAACCCGACGGAGAUUUUCGAGGGCUUUGGGAUGGGAAUGUGCAUACUUUGCAUGUGGAAAUGAUGUGUUUAACUGCGGCCAGGAGGAAAAACUGAGACAGCUGCCGAAAUGGCCCCACGUUUCUCAUGGUGUCCGCAUACUUUGUUGCACGGCUUUGCCACGCUCUCCCAUUCUGAGUGGGAUUGGUUGUGUAACUUGGCCUUGGCCUCAUCAGUAAAUGGGAUGCAAGCUGAGGCUCGAAAUGACUUGCCUGAGUGAGCCUUCUCUUUCUUGUAAGAGCAGCGUUACUGCGAUAAGAAGGUGACGAGCACGUGGGACCAGAGCCUGGUUCUUCCACGUGCUCCCAGCCAACAACUGGUUGAACUGCAGUUGUGUAAGUUAGCCCAGCCGAUGUCGGAAGCACCUCAGUCACAUGAGUAAUAAACCUUUUAGUGCUGUAAGCCUCAGGCUUUCUGGUUGCUUGUUAGGCAGCGUGAUUUUAACAGUAGUUAACAGCUACAAUGCCCAACCUCAUAAAGAUAAAACAAAAUAAGAAACUACAUAUCAAUCUUUUAUUCAUAGCAAUGAAGUUAUUGCCAAUUUUGCCAAUUUGUAAUGAUUUAGUGUAAAUCAUAGGUAUAGAGACGUCUGGGUGGCUCAGUCAGUUAAGUGUCCGACUUUGGCUCAGGUUCAUGGGUUCAAGCCCUGCUUGGGGCUCUGUGCUCACAGCUCAGAGCCUGGAGCCUGCUUCGGAUUCUGUGUCCCCCUCUCUCUCUCUGCCCCUCCCCCACUCCCACCCCUCUCAAAAAAAAAAUAAACAUUAAACAUUUUAAAAAGAUCAUAUUUAUAAACGAUACAUUUGUCAAAUAUCAUUGGAUUAAUAUCAAUAAGAAAAUCCCCAAAAGAAAAUAUCAGCAAACAGAAAGCAACAGGGCAUUGAAGAUGAUCAAUCAUGACUCAAGUGCAGCUUAAUGGCUGAGUAUUAGAAAAUCAGUGAAUACAAUUCCCCAUUUUAAUAGAUCUAAAAAGCAAUUUGAUUAUGGUUGCUGAAAAGUCCUCUGACAAAAUUUAACACUCAUUCCUGAUUUAAAAAAAGAAAGUUGGGGCUCAGGUCACGAUCUUGUGGUUGGUGGGUUCAAGCCCCACAUCGGGCUGUCUGCUGUCAGCACAGAGCACACUUCAGAUUCUCUGUCCCUCUCUCUCUCUCUCUC